RNAcentral lists this ribosomal RNA (397 nucleotides) under uncultured bacterium. Its description in RNAcentral is "partial 16S ribosomal RNA". It matches the Rfam family "Bacterial small subunit ribosomal RNA", at positions 523 to 918 of the family's 1533-position model. The record is from RNAcentral.
AUACGUAGGGGGCGAGCGUUGUCCGGAAUGAUUGGGCGUAAAGGGCGCGUAGGCGGCGCGGUAAGUCUGGAGUGAAAGUCCUGUUUUUAAGAUGGGAAUUGCCUUGGAUACUGUCGGGCUUGAGUGCAGGAGAGGUAAGUGGAAUUCCCAGUGUAGCGGUGAAAUGCGUAGAGAUUGGGAGGAACACCAGUGGCGAAGGCGACUUACUGGACUGUAACUGACGCUGAGGCGCGAAAGUGUGGGGAGCAAACAGGAUUAGAUACCCUGGUAGUCCACACUGUAAACGAUGAAUGCUAGGUGUAGGGGGUAUCGACCCCUUCUGUGCCGCAGUCAACACAAUAAGCAUUCCGCCUGGGGAGUACGGCCGCAAGGCUGAAACUCAAAGGAAUUGACGGGG